This 253-nucleotide ribosomal RNA is filed under the name uncultured bacterium. RNAcentral's name for it is "partial 16S ribosomal RNA". It matches the Rfam family "Bacterial small subunit ribosomal RNA", at positions 524 to 776 of the family's 1533-position model. The record is from RNAcentral.
UACGAAGGGGGCUAGCGUUGCUCGGAAUCACUGGGCGUAAAGGGUGCGUAGGCGGGUCUUUAAGUCAGGGGUGAAAUCCUGGAGCUCAACUCCAGAACUGCCUUUGAUACUGAAGAUCUUGAGUCCGGGAGAGGUGAGUGGAACUGCGAGUGUAGAGGUGAAAUUCGUAGAUAUUCGCAAGAACACCGGUGGCGAAGGCGGCUUCUUGGGCCCUACCUGACGCUGAGGCGCGAAAGCCAGGGGAGCGAACGGG